RNAcentral lists this ribosomal RNA (450 nucleotides) under uncultured bacterium. RNAcentral describes it as "partial 16S ribosomal RNA". It matches the Rfam family "Bacterial small subunit ribosomal RNA", at positions 338 to 795 of the family's 1533-position model. The record is from RNAcentral.
CCUACGGGAGGCAGCAGUGGGGAAUAUUGGACAAUGGGGGAAACCCUGAUCCAGCAAUGCCGCGUGUGUGAAGAAGGCCUGCGGGUUGUAAAGCACUUUCGGUUGGGAAGAAAAGUUUGGCGCCAAUACCGCCGAACCUUGACGUUACUGACAGAAGAAGCACCGGCUAACUCUGUGCCAGCAGCCGCGGUAAUACAGAGGGUGCACACGUUAAUCGGAAUCAGCGGGCGUAAUGCGGCAGUAGGUGGGCGGAAUCCCCGGGCUUAACCUGGGAACUGCAUUCGAUACUACAUGGCUAGAGUAUGGUAGAGGGAAGUGGAAUUUCCGGUGUAGCGGUGAAAUGCGUAGAGAUCGGAAGGAACACCAAUGGCGAAGGCAGCUUCCUGGACUAAUACUGACACUGAGGCACGAAAGCGUGGGUAGCAAACAGGAUUAGAUACCCCAGUAGUC